Molecule: ribosomal RNA, 159 nt
Filed under: Parvoplaca chelyae
Lineage: Eukaryota; Fungi; Ascomycota; Lecanoromycetes; Teloschistales; Teloschistaceae
Description: 5.8S ribosomal RNA
Rfam family: 5.8S ribosomal RNA
About the family: 5.8S ribosomal RNA (5.8S rRNA) is a component of the large subunit of the eukaryotic ribosome. It is transcribed by RNA polymerase I as part of the 45S precursor that also contains 18S and 28S rRNA. Functionally, it is thought that 5.8S rRNA may be involved in ribosome translocation.
Source: RNAcentral
AAAACUUUCAACAACGGAUCUCUUGGUUCUGGCAUCGAUGAAGAACGCAGCGAAAUGCGAUAAGUAAUGUGAAUUGCAGAAUUCAGUGAAUCAUCGAAUUUUUGAACGCACAUUGCGCCCCUUGGUAUUCCGAGGGGCAUGCCUGUUCGAGCGUCAUUG